Molecule: RNA transcript, 6350 nt
Organism: Silurus meridionalis
Lineage: Eukaryota; Metazoa; Chordata; Actinopteri; Siluriformes; Siluridae
Gene name: sine oculis-binding protein homolog B-like
Exons: 7
Source: RefSeq, a predicted model, not a curated record
AGCGCGCACAGCCUCUGGCUCCCACACCGUGAACGCUCGCGCGGCGCCGCGUCCUUCUCGCCCUCACAAAACGAUGCCAAAGAUGGAGAAAGGAAGACCACCGGAAAGCAAGCGCAGCAGGAAGCCCGCUCAUCCCGUCAAGCGCGAGGUCAGCCAGGAGAUGAAGAGCUUCGCAGAGAGCACAAUGAAUGAAUUGCUGGGAUGGUACGGAUAUGAUAAAGUUGACCUGCAGGACUCUGAGGCCGUCGACAUCAGGAGCCACAAUGGCAGAGCCAGACGGCACCAAGUGUCUGUGCUUAAAGAGAAUUCUGAUCCAAAGCCUGGAGGAAUCGGGAGCAAACUGGACUCUGGCUCCUCCGUCCCGGCAAAAGACGGGGUGAAAGAAUCUACAGGCUUUCCCCUUUCUCCUUCGUCGUCCUCGUUCUCUCCUCACAUGAAGGAAUUGCACAGCACACACGUCGUGGUGCCACUCAUCAAACCAUCUGCAGUGGAUGAGCAGCAGAAUGUUCAGAUUGUGUGCGUGUGGUGUCAGAAGGAGGGACUUAAACGCUACUCUCUGAUCAUGGGCUCAGAGCUCAAGAGCUUCUGCAGCGAGAAGUGUUUUGCCAUGUGCCGGCGAGCCUACUUUAAACGCAACAAGGCUCAAAAUGAAAAUCGGCACCGCGAUCAGUCUUCUCCUCCGCCUCCUGGCCAAACAGAGGAAACGCCACCUCAGAUCAUGCUUAAGAUGAACAACACACGAGUCUGCGAUUGGUGCAAACACGUGCGUCACACCAAGUACCUUGACUUAGGUGCAGGUGAUGACAGACUGCAGUUCUGCAGCACCAAGUGCCUUAACCAGUACAAAAUGGACAUUUUUUACCGUGAGGCCCGAGCUGCACUUACAACAUCUGGCUCUAGUCCGAGCCAUCCAGAAAACGAGAAUCGUCCAGCUGGAGAGAACGAGACUCUGCUGACACCUGAAUCAUGGAACAACCCUUCUAUGGAAGGAGACAGCAAAGAAAUAGUGUCGCCCAAAGUUUCCACGCCUGUGUCAUCUUCAUCUUCAUCAGUAUAUUCUGUUAGAGCAUCUGUCUUGGCUCAGCAGAAGGAAAGAGAAAGCUCUGCUUCGUCUCAGCUCCGGACUGGGACUCCGGUGCCAUCUACUCCUCCACCUCAUGUUGUUGUAGAGCAACCAUGGGUGAUACAGAAGCCGCCAUCCUUUAACCAGGCAGCUAUUCAUGCACGGCCCAGAAACCCAGGAUCCAGUCCACAUCACAGACCCUCACACACAUCUCCGCAGGUACACACACCCAUGGUUCGGCCGAUUCCCCCACCGCUUUUACACCCAUAUCCGGGUUCGAUGAUGCACUGUGCUUCCACCUACCCUCACCCAAUUCCUUCAAUCAUGCCAACACUGGGUCUGCCAUGUCCACAACCGACUGUCUUGGUGCCAUAUCCGAUUGUAGUCCCUCUCCCUGUUCCUGUGCCAAUUCCUAUACCGAUACCAGUGAACUCAGAGGCUUUUGGACAUGCCAGGGUUAUUCGUAACCACAAGGAGAAGGAGAGGACAGGAAGAGAUGCAUUUUCAGUCACUCCUGAAGAUUUACCAAGAGCACAGAUGUCUAAAGUUCAGGAUACUACCAGUGUAGUCUUAGCGGAGCACAAAGUAAAGACGGAGCAGAUUUCCUCUCCAGACCCAUACUCUGCUGCUUUCUCAUUGCACCCUUUCCAAAUCUCACCUGCUCGUCCACAGGCCAGUCCUACUCCUCCCCUGCCAGACAACCAGAGACAAGAAGUUAGGGAGCGACAUGUGAUACAAAGAGUGGCAUGCAAAGUGAAGCAGGAACGUGAAACAGAGUUCGACCACAGUAAGCACACCGAGUUUGAGCCCGAGAAAGUUUGGGCCAGUAAGAGUGAUGAAAACAAUCCAAUAGCACAACAAAUGUCCGCUAAAUCUUACACAGGCACUUUAAAGCACACGUUCACACAUUCAGCCCCUGAAAGUGUAUCUUCCCCGGCAGACUCGUCAAACACACGGGCUUCAAUCAUUCUACAGAAAGCACUCAACACAACAUCCGUCGUCACUCCCACAGCAUCUAUAAUAUUGAACAGCGCAGUUGCCACUUCUAACUCCAUUCACUCCGCUUACUCUGCAACAUGCCCUCCCACAGUUCAGACUGACCCAGAUCAAAGAACAAGCUCUGGCCAACAUUCAUCUCCGCUCCCCGAAUCCGAGGAUGUGAAAGAGAAUGUCUCGGGAGAACGGGAACCUGGCGCAAACUGUCCCCUUCCAGCAGAGCAAACAGACUCCCAAACCGACCAAUCAGAAGAGGGCAAGGGUGGAGCCGCCGACAAUGACGCUCUCGCAGCCGACGAGCACGCGUACGCGCGAUCCAUCCCGCCGAAAUUACGUGAAAAGAAUACACACACGAUCACCCUGACAGCUGCACACACACUUGCUCAAGUGGUCACUCAUAGUUGGGACAAGAGCUUGCAAGCGCAUGUUCCUGCUUUCGAGCAAAGUGGCGCACUUACUGAAUUAAAGCCGGCUUUGAAGAGGAGAUGCCUAAGGAUCAGAGACCAGAACAAAUGAUGCGCAGGUAUUCACACAAGCAUACAGUUGCACAAAUGCACACACUAUAUACACACAUUCCGAUUCAAGCAAGCGGUGGAAGAUCUAUAGCCGGGUCUACUAAUAUAGGGUAAAGAGAGCAAAUAUUUGUUUACUGGCAUGUAAAUCAUGUUUAUACCAACCACAGUGACUGAUUGUGGGUCUGGGAACGAGGCAUUAGAGAAUCGCAGGCCAUUACAGCAAGAUAUAGACAAGAGUAUUUGGACACCUGACUAUUCCAGCCAUAUGUGGUUCUUUCCCAAACUGUUACCCCAAACUUGUAGCUACACAGUUGGUUGUGGCAGGAUGAAAUUUUCCCUUUACUUGAACCCAAACCUGUUCCAGCUUAUCACUGCACCUUCGCACAAACCUACCUCCAUGAAGAUAUGGUUUGGACAGAAAGAUCUCCUGCUAUUAAACAUCUUUGGGAUGAAUUGGAACACACCCCAACUGCACCCUCCCUCCUCACUUUACUUAUAUCAGUACUUUAUUACCACCCUUAUAGCUGAAUGAGCACAAAUCGAGUGGGACAUCUUCUCAGAAGAGUGGAGGUUAUUAGAACAGCAAAUGGGGGCUAAAGGUGGAAUGUGCUGUUUCAAGUCAUAAAUGUGGGAAAGUAUCUGUGAACUUGAGUUUGUAGAAGUGUUUAUGGUGAUUUCAUUAUUUAUAUUUAAUUUCUCCGUUAGUCAUACCUUCUUGUUUUCUCUCUCUUUCUCUCUCUCUCACACACACACACGCACACACGCACACACAAACACAUACACCAAAUAAAACUACACAGUCCAAGUGCAUGUCCCACAUAAUGACUCAGAACAGUUAAACAGUCCUUUUUAUAGCUCUAAGGUUUCAGCAGUAGAAGGAAAAAACUGAAACGCAAGACACAACUGAAAAUCCCUGACACAAGCUAGUCUAAUAAAGUGUGUGUGUGUGUGUGUGUGUGUGUGUGUGUGUGUGUGUGUGUGUGUUUGAGGUGUAUGUAUAGCUCCAGAUGUUUCUGUUGGAGGGCUUUGUCUGUGCUCUCAGGUUACUGCAGAAAUAGGGAUAGUGUGUGUACAUGGAUUUAGCCCUUUGUGGGGACCAAAACAAGACAGGCGGUCCCCACAAUUCUAGGAUUGUGCCUGUUGGUCCUCAGGAAACCUAGAUACAAGAGAUUCAGCUUUUGCAGGAUCUCCAGAUGAACAUACGUACAGUAUAUCUGCGUGAUAUAUUUUACGAAUUAUGCCCGCGAUUGUAUUCCAUUCCUCGGUCAUUAGUGUGGCGCUGUUAUCGUGUUUCUUUGCGAAACCCAAAGCCUGCGUGUUUGCAACACUACCCUUCAAAAACCCAUUCUUUGAGCAUAUGCUUCCAAAGCAGUUACUUUAUACUUUAAUAACCUCUGCAGUAGACCUGACAAAUAUACUGGGAAUAAUGUCAACUGGAAUUGAUAGUGGCGUAUUAUUUUUCCCCCUGUUGCCAUAUCGGAAUGUUUCUGCUUUGCAGUCCAGUGAGCUUGCGAUCGAAACCAGAGGAACCAUGCGUAUUUAAACGUAAUCAGAAUUGUCAUUCGGUCGUAUCACACUCUAAUUAUGGGAAUUUCCAUUCAAAUUCAAAUGUUUCCUCAUUCAAUUGUUGUACUUGCAUCAUAUUUGUCUAAGAAAUGAUCUUGUCAGAUGAUAUGGACAAAAAAAGCAUUGGGACAAGCAACUUUCCCUGCUAUAUUUGUUCCAUCUCCAAACUGUUACCACAAAGUCAGAGACACACAUGUUUAGGAUGUCAUGGGUUAACAUGGAAGAUUCUGAGUGGCCCGCUAUAGAGCUAUAAACCCUACUGAACACCUUUGGAACGAAUUGGAAGGCACCCCUGGACUUCCCUCUCUACAUCCGUCUGACUUUAAUAACACCCUUGUGGCUGAAUGAGCGCAAAUCUCCACAGCCACACUCUAGAGCAGCAUCUUCUCAAAAGAGUGGAGGUUAUUAUAUCAGGAUACAGGGAUAAAUCUGGAAAAAAGCACUUAUCUAAUAGUCAGAUCACUCGUGGAGUGAACUUCCUUUUUUUUUUCUUGUGUAUCUGAAGUCAGAUACAGAUUGCACACCUUUCCCUUGGUGCUGGAAAUGAGCAGGGAAACAGAGACGAGUUGAACGAAAAGCUCAGUGACUGAUAAAUGGGCCCAGAUGUUCAUCCUGACUAUUGGAUAUAAUCAUACCUAGGGCUUAGGAUCUUCUCAGCACAGGAUUGCUGACAACCAUUUCUCCUCCACUGGUGGUUUAUACAGACGUAAAGAUCGGUGGUGUGUGUUUUCUGUACAGACACUUCAGGCUAAAUGAGUUCUGGGUUUUUUUUUUUUUUGGCUUACUGUCAACAUUUGUUAAUAUUUGCCAAUCUGUAAUGUUUAUUAGAUUAAACCUGCCUUCACAUACAUACACACACAUUUGUUGGUACUUCCUUUGUGGAAAAAGUAGAACCCACAUUUUUCUGUCAAGUGGCUUUAAAUGCCAGAAUGAUUGACGUUUAUUCCAUAGUUAAUACAAUUUGACUUGAUUUGUAUUCAACACCAUUUGAAAUAAUCAAAUGAAAAGAAAGGACACAAACGAUGGCACUUUUAACCUUUCGUUACACAACCUUGAUCAUCGCAAACAAGCUUUCGGUGAGAUUUCUCAACCUGUCUGGAGAACCUCAACCUGGAGAAGCCUCCUGUAGAAGGCCACAUCAGAACAGUCCGCUGUUGUGUUCUUUCCGUGUUGUGGGUCGUUAUCUGGUGGAGGACCCGGGAACUGCACCUGAGAUGGAGCUUUCUGAGUAGGUUUCGCCCCUAAAAUGGUUUGGUAGUCUUGAGAUGUUUCACAUCAGCUAUAUGCUCAAAGACAUGAUAAAUCGCUGAAAAAAAAACACUUUAACUGCUUAAAGUGUUUUUUUUUCAGCGAUUUAUCAUGUCUUUGAGCAUAUAGCUGAUGUGCCACUCAAAUUUCCUCUCAUCUGGACAAACAACACUCUCCUGGAAGCAUUGUGGCUGGUCCUAUUUGCAUUUUAGCAAAUUUACAAGUAUUUGUUUGAAACAUAAUCCAAUUAUUUAUAUUUCUUUUCAAAGGAGUACCAACACACGUCCACAUCUGUACCUACGUGAACACUAUAUGGAUAAAAGUAUUGGGACACCUGAUUUUUCCAGCCAUUUGUGCAUCUUCCCCAAACUGUUCCCAUAAAGUAGGAUGUCUUUGGAUGUUCUAACAUAAUCCAAACCUGCUCCAGAAUAACAAUUCCCCCUGUGCAUAAAACCAGCUUUGUGAGGAUCUGGAGUGGAAGACCUUUAGUUUUUUGGAAUAUUUUUCAAUUAAAACAACUUUGGGAUGAAUUGAGAUGCCAAAUGCACCCUGUUCCUUCAAGUACAUCAGUAUCUUACUUUAUUAACACCUUUGUGGAAUCUUAAAUGUAGACAUCUUCUCAAAAGAGUGGUUUAAAUGUGAUAUGGGAUGUUCAAAAAGCUUAUACUCAGGUGUCUACAAACUUUUGUUUAUAUAGUGAAUAUGUAUUGAUAUGUUUUAAUUUGAGAUUAUUUACAACUGAAGCAUGAAGUAGGUGCUGGAUAGGUGAUGGAUCCCUGUCAGAAAUGGAAAGCUGAAAUCAUAAUCACUGUUUUUAUUGAUUUCAAAUCAGAGCCAAAAAAAAAAAGCAUUUACAGACCGCACUCUAUUAACGAACAUGUGCCACUAUUCAUUAAUCUGCCAUAUUCGUUUUGAGUAUAGAAUUUGUUUUAUUUGAAUAAAAUGUUUACUUGUACAUUGAA